GUGCCAGCCGCCGCGGUAAGACGGAGGAUGCAAGUGUUAUCCGGAAUCACUGGGCGUAAAGCGUCUGUAGGUGGUUUGUUAAGUCAACUGUUAAAUCUUGAGGCUCAACUUCAAAUCAGCAGUCGAAACUAUCAGACUAGAGUAUAGUAGGGGUAAAGGGAAUUUCCAGUGGAGCGGUGAAAUGCGUAGAUAUUGGAAAGAACACCGAUGGCGAAGGCACUUUACUGGGCUAUUACUAACACUCAGAGACGAAAGCUAGGGUAGCAAAUGGGAUUAGAUACCCCAGUAGUCCUAGCUGUAAACAAUGGAUACUAGAUGUUGAACAGAUCGACCUGUGCAGUAUUAAAGCUAACGCGUUAAGUAUCCCGCCUGGGAAGUAUGCUCGCAAGAGUGAA
This 395-nucleotide ribosomal RNA is filed under the name uncultured bacterium. RNAcentral describes it as "bacterial SSU rRNA". It matches the Rfam family "Bacterial small subunit ribosomal RNA", at positions 505 to 898 of the family's 1533-position model. The record is from RNAcentral.